Molecule: ribosomal RNA, 253 nt
Filed under: uncultured bacterium
Lineage: Bacteria
Description: partial 16S ribosomal RNA
Rfam family: Bacterial small subunit ribosomal RNA
Source: RNAcentral
GACGUAGGGCGCGAGCGUUGUCCGGAUUUAUUGGGCGUAAAGAGCUCGUAGGCGGCUUGUUGCGUCGACCGUGAAAACCCGCGGCUUAACUGUGGGCUUGCGGUCGAUACGGGCGGGCUGGAGUUCGGUAGGGGAGACUGGAAUUCCUGGUGUAGCGGUGAAAUGCGCAGAUAUCAGGAGGAACACCGGUGGCGAAGGCGGUUCUCUGGGCCUGACCUGACGCUGAGGAGCGAAAGCGUGGGGAGCGAACAGG